GACGGAGGAUGCAAGCGUUAUCCGGAAUUAUUGGGCGUAAAGGGUGCGUAGGUGGUCGGUCAAGUCCCAUGUCAAAGCAUGGUGCUUAACGCCAUAAAGGCGUGGGAAACUGCCGGACUAGAGUACAGCAGGGGCAGGAGGAAUUCCCGGUGUAGCGGUGAAAUGCGUAGAUAUCGGGAAGAACACCAGUGGCGCAAGCGUUCUGCUGGGCUGUAACUGACAAUGAGGCACGAAAGCUAGGGGAGCGAAAGGG
This 253-nucleotide ribosomal RNA is filed under the name uncultured bacterium. Its description in RNAcentral is "partial 16S ribosomal RNA". It matches the Rfam family "Bacterial small subunit ribosomal RNA", at positions 524 to 776 of the family's 1533-position model. The record is from RNAcentral.